This 452-nucleotide ribosomal RNA is filed under the name uncultured Clostridium sp. Its description in RNAcentral is "bacterial SSU rRNA". It matches the Rfam family "Bacterial small subunit ribosomal RNA", at positions 926 to 1382 of the family's 1533-position model. The record is from RNAcentral. Lineage: Bacteria; Bacillati; Bacillota; Clostridia; Eubacteriales; Clostridiaceae.
CAAGCGUGGAGCAUGUGGUUUAAUUCGAAGCAACGCGAAGAACCUUACCUAGACUUGACAUCUCCUGAAUUACCCGUAACUGGGGAAGCUCUUCGGAGCAGGAAGACAGGUGGUGCAUGGUUGUCGUCAGCUCGUGUCGUGAGAUGUUGGGUUAAGUCCCGCAACGAGCGCAACCCUUAUCGUUAGUUGCUACCAUUAAGUUGAGCACUCUAGCGAGACUGCCCGGGUUAACCGGGAGGAAGGUGGGGAUGACGUCAAAUCAUCAUGCCCCUUAUGUCUAGGGCUACACACGUGCUACAAUGGUGAGGACAAAGAGACGCAAGACCGCGAGGUGGAGCAAAUCUCACAAACCUCAUCCCAGUUCGGAUUGCAGGCUGAAACUCGCCUGCAUGAAGCCGGAGUUGCUAGUAAUCGCGAAUCAGCAUGUCGCGGUGAAUACGUUCCCGGGCCUU